This is a long non-coding RNA of Ictalurus punctatus (channel catfish), 3475 nucleotides long. The record is from Ensembl. NCBI's taxonomy places the organism in Eukaryota, Metazoa, Chordata, Actinopteri, Siluriformes, Ictaluridae.
AGACAAUGACAUUGUGGUUAUUUCUGAUGACGAGUGUCCUGAAACGUCCACACAAGACCAACUGAAUCCAAGAUCACGGGAACAUAACCAAGCUAUCCAAAGACCAGUAGCUGUUAUAACACCGCAGUCUAGAGCAAUCUUGCAAACUACACAAGUUGAGGACACCCUGACACCUGAUUAUGAUUCAUGCGCAUCAGGUGAUAUAAUGUAUAUUUGCCUUUUAUUUCGUUCUAUUUUCACCAUCCGUUCAGUGCAAAAAUCUCUCUCACAUUUACUUUGGUUUCUGUUCUUUUUUAGAUGUGUGUGAUGCUGACGAAGGACAAGCGGAGGAGGAAGGCUUUGAACAUGUUGAUAACACAUUUCAAAAUGGUCCAGACAAUGACAUUGUGGUUAUUUCUGAUGAUGAGUGUCCUGAAACGUCCACACAAGACCAACUGAAUCCAAGACCACGGGAACAUAACCAAGCUAUCCAAAGACCAGUAGCUGUUAUAACACCGCAGUCUAGAGCAAGCUUGCAAACUACACUUGAGGUCACCCUGACAGUCAGUGAUGAUGAUUCAUGCGCAUCAGAUUUGAGUGAUGCUGACAAAGGACAAGCGGAGGAGGAAGGCUUUGAACAUGUUGAUAAUACAUUUCAAAAUGGUCCAGGAAUGAAGUCAAUGAACAAGAAACCAAAAGCCCAUCCAGUGAAAGGAGUGGUGGGACCGCAGAAGAGAAAAAAUCCUAAUCCAGCAGAAGGUCAGAAUCUAGCAAAAAAGAAGAGAAAGUCUCCAGCAUGUGUGGAUACAUCAUAUUUUCAUAAUUAUUUGUGUGCAGAUAACAUGCCUGUUCUAGCUCUAAUUCAACCCAAUGUGCAUUUUGUUAUGGUUCCUGCGGGUAACAUCACGGUUCAAACAUCUGGCAGGAGCGAUUCUUGCCAGCCUUCAGGUGGCCCAAUGAAUCGAUUUAAUAAUGAAGACACGAUCAACCAGAGAGCGACUAACAAUGCUGCAGUGUUUGCACAGAGAGAUAAGAUAGACAACUCUCAAACUGGAAACAAGAAUAUUCAAGAUGAAAACCUGUUGUUUCUAAGGAAAAACCGUGUUGAGUUAAUCGACAGGGUAAAAAAUGUCCCUGAAAUCCUCGAUCGCCUCAAAUUAUCCAACGAAAAAGCAGCGAUAGUGCGAGCAGAGAGGACAGAUCAGGAGAGGAUGAGGAAGCUUCUGGAGUUCACGACCAGCACACAUGGUGCAAAGUUUCUAGUCACAGCCUUGUGGAGCUGCGCAAGCGAUGUCAUGGAAGACCUGACCAACACCAACUACAAUGACCUUGUGGUUAUUUCUGAUGACGAGUGUCCUGAAACGUCCACACAAGGCCAACUGAAUCUAAGAUCACGGGAACAUAAACAAGCUAUCCAAAGACCAGUAGCUGUUAUAACACCGCAGUCUAGACCAAUCUUGCAAACUACACAAGUUGAGGACACCCUGACAGUCAGUGAUGAUGAUUCAUGCGCAUCAGAUGUGAGUGAUGCUGACGAAGGACAAGCGGAGGAGGACGUUCCGGAAAAUAACAGAUUAGAAGAGAUCAGCAUCGCAGUGAGAGAAUUCUUAGACAGAAAAGCUGCUUUAUUGGAGAGCUUUGAACAUUUUGAUAAUAUAUCUCAGAAUGCUCCAGGUUGGGUUUGUGUACAAUCAAUGCACAGUACCCUCGAAUCCAUGAAUAGUUGUGCCACAGCGAACAUAAAUUUGCUAAAAAAAAUCAAUGAAAGGUAUGGCACAGAAAUGCCCGAUUUACAUUUCAGUUACAUAUUCCAAAAAAAGGAAAAGUGAAAAUACUCUGACAUCACCUCAUGAUUAAAUAGUCUUUACGUUGGGACACCCAUAUUUAUCUGAUGCAAUCAACCAGCUGAAUGAAAUUUUAGCUCCGUCACACCAGUUCGUUAGUCCGAGCCCUAGUCAGAGUUCCAAUCACAAUGUAACAAAUACACCAGUGAGCCAAUACGAUAUAUUCUAUGAACUCUGCGAAAGUCUGUUAAGAUUACAGAAUAGCCUAAACGAACAUUCUGUACAAUUAAACCCUGAUUUAAUCGAAGCAGUCAACCAGUUGAAUGAAAAUUUGACUAUCUCCUGAACACAACUUCAAUAUCUUCUCAACUCCUGAACUCUCACAGGAACAUAGACCCUUUUAUGUUCAUCUGUUAUACGAACUUAAUGAAAGUCUUAUGAGGUUAAAUGACAGUCUGGUUAACUUAAUCAAACCCCCUGCCAAUAUUCCACAAAAUUUGGGAAAUGAUAAUGAGUACGUCCCUCCAAUGGAAAACAUAUCAUCACCUAAUAUCCACGAUUUGCAAAUGGAAGACAUGCCAUCACCUAAUAUCCAAGAUGGUAAUGGGAUAGAUCCUAAUAUUAGAAUAAUUAAUAAUGACAGAUUCAACACCAAGAUUAGGAGAAGAGUGAAUUUUUCUUAAUGUCACUAAUCACUAAUUUCAACAGCUUUGUGGAAUUUUAUAAUUAUGAUUUAAACAGUGUGAUUGAAAUCGCUAAUUAUUUAAUUUCAUCUGAAGAUUUUGUCACAGGUGAAAUUAGAGGUGAUACACUCAAUGUUUCAUGGCGCAUUCAGUUAGUCAAUGUUGCCAUCGUUUUACAUUCUUUUAUAACCAUGUCCAAAAAUGCCAUUCAGAGUAAACGUGAAAUAAUAAUUAUUAUUAAAACACUGAAAUAGUCAUCUAAAUUGUCUGACCAACCUUGGGGUGGUGCAUCUAGAAGGACAACAGACAAGAGACUGAUUAAACCGCUGAAUGCUAAUGUAUUCAUUGGCAUUUUCACUAUAGCAUAUGCUAGACUUGAAUUGUACGAUCUGAUGGAUCGAUUACAACAGUGUUGUUUGGACACAGACACCGACGGCAUCAUUUUUAAAAGUAGGGAAGGUAAUUGAAUGCCACCUUUAAGCAAUUACUUUGGUGGUCUUAACAGCGACCUAGAUGAUGGCGAUCAAAUCGUAGAAUUCGUAAGUGCAGGUCCAAAAAAGUUAGGGUUACAAAACUGUCAAAGGAAAAGCAGCUAUGAAAGCUAAAGGCAUUACUUUAAAUUAUACCAAUUCCGAAGUUGUCAAUUUAAAAUCGCUGACAGAGCUGGUGGACAUGCGAGUGAACAAUUCAGAUCAAACUAGUCAACUUAUCACCUCACAUAACCAAAUUGUGCGAGAUAAAAAGUUAUUUAAUUUGAGAAAUAAAUCACAGUUAAAAAAGGUUUAUAAGCCUGCUUUAUUACCUGAUUUCACAACUCUCCCUUAUGAUUAUUAAGACUUUUCAUGUAUAUAUGUAAUGUUGUUUCUGUUUGUGUUUUGUAAUGGAAAAUAUGAACCUUUUUAUGUAUUGUAUGUGGUACAAGUAAAUCGUAUUUUGUUAUUAUAAUAAUUUUAUUAUUAUAUAUGUGUGUUUGCAACCUCUGUAUGAUGAAUCGAUGACCAGAAUAAAUAUAAUUUUUUUUUCAAGGAA